RNAcentral lists this ribosomal RNA (399 nucleotides) under uncultured bacterium. Its description in RNAcentral is "partial 16S ribosomal RNA". It matches the Rfam family "Bacterial small subunit ribosomal RNA", at positions 362 to 758 of the family's 1533-position model. The record is from RNAcentral.
UAUUGGACAAUGGGGGCAACCCUGAUCCAGCCAUGCCGCGUGUGUGAAGAGGGCCCUCGGGUUGUAAAGCACUUUCAGCCCCCCCCCCCCGCCUAGUGGUUAAUACCCAUUAGGAAAGACAUCACUCGCAGAAGAAGCACCGGCUAACUCCGUGCCAGCAGCCGCGGUAAUACGGAGGGUGCAAGCGUUAAUCGGAAUUACUGGGCGUAAAGCGCGCGUAGGUGGCUUGAUAAGCCGGUUGUGAAAGCCCCGGGCUCAACCUGGGAACGGCAUCCGGAACUGUCAGGCUAGAGUGCAGGAGAGGAAGGUAGAAUUCCCGGUGUAGCGGUGAAAUGCGUAGAGAUCGGGAGGAAUACCAGGGCGAAGGCGGCCUUCGGACUACACUACACGAGGGCGAAA